GAGAGAGAGAGAGAGAGAGAGAGAGAGAGAGAGAGAGAGAGAGAGAGAGAGAGAGAGAGAGAGGCCCCCUGGAUUUCAGGAGUCUAGAAAUCUGUGUAGAGAAAUAAGGCAAAACACAGCAGGUGUUGCCAGUUGGAACCCUCUCUGCUUUAUUCACGCCUCAUCGCCAGACGGCUGGUUCCCAGGAGGUGGCUCAAUCUCACAAGGUUCAGAUGUAACAGGAAACAAAUAACUAAUUGUGCUGUACCUCAGCUUGGAUUCAUUCUGGGUGCGGACAAGUAUCUGUGUCUCCAGAGACUGCAGUGAAGUGGAAACCGUGGAUUAGCCAGCUUGGUGAUCUGAAUUGAGUGGAAUAAUUGAAUGAUUGCCAAAUCUUUGGGUAACUAGACGUACUGUGUGAGCCAGGACAGUCCUGAGCAAUCUCGGCCAUUGUCAAGCAUGGCCUCCCCUUGAAAGAUAUGGAUUUGGAUACAUCCCCUUUUUCAUUGGUUUCAACUCUGAGGACAAUCUACGCAGUUCACAAAGUCUCCCAUUCAUUGCUUUUCUUUCUGAAAAUGAUUUUCAAGGAGGAUGCUUGUUGCUGAGUCAUUGGAUGUCUGAGAUAUCCUUCUGUUAUUUCACAAUUUAAAGACAACUAGGCUGGGUAUAAAAGCAGCAACUUGCAACUUUGAUUCUCAAAACUUUGCAUACAAUACAUCACUUUCUUCUAAAUUAAGCCUUUAGAGUAAAAGCCAGAGAACAGCCAGAUUUUCGUUAUAUUUUUAGGUACUCUGUUUCUUUUGCUUAAAUACUUAUAAAAGAUUUUUCUUUUGGUUGUGAAUUAAAACUGUUGCCAGGAUA
This is a long non-coding RNA of Mus musculus (house mouse), 840 nucleotides long. RefSeq annotates it as predicted gene, 54224. Lineage: Eukaryota; Metazoa; Chordata; Mammalia; Rodentia; Muridae. The transcript is spliced from 2 exons. The record is from RefSeq and is a predicted model, not a curated record.